CCUACGGGUGGCUGCAGUGGGGAAUAUUGGACAAUGGGGGGAACCCUGAUCCAGCCAUGCCGCGUGUGUGAAGAAGGCCCUCGGGUUGUAAAGCACUUUCAGUGAGGAAGAACGCCUGGUGGUUAAUACCCAUCAGGAAAGACAUCACUCACAGAAGAAGCACCGGCUAACUCCGUGCCAGCAGCCGCGGUAAUACGGAGGGUGCGAGCGUUAAUCGGAAUUACUGGGCGUGAAGCGCGCGUAGGUGGCUUGAUAAGCCGGUUGUGAAAGCCCCGGGCUCAACCUGGGAACGGCAUCCGGAACUGUCAAGCUAGAGUGCAGGAGAGGAAGGUAGAAUUCCCGGUGUAGCGGUGAAAUGCGUAGAGAUCGGGAGGAAUACCAGUGGCGAAGGCGGCCUUCUGGACUGACACUGACACUGAGGUGCGAAAGCGUGGGUAGCAAACAGGAUUAGAUACCCCGGUAGUC
RNAcentral lists this ribosomal RNA (465 nucleotides) under Vreelandella stevensii. Its description in RNAcentral is "partial 16S ribosomal RNA". It matches the Rfam family "Bacterial small subunit ribosomal RNA", at positions 338 to 795 of the family's 1533-position model. Lineage: Bacteria; Pseudomonadati; Pseudomonadota; Gammaproteobacteria; Oceanospirillales; Halomonadaceae. The record is from RNAcentral.